UACAGAGGGUGCAAGCGUUGUUCGGAAUUAUUGGGCGUAAAGGGAGUGUAGGCGGUUUGAAAAGUCUUCUGUGAAAUCUACGGGCUUAGCCUGUAAAGUGCAGAGGAUACUAUCAGGCUUGAGUAUCGGAGAGGAUAGGGGAAUACCCAGUGUAGAGGUGAAAUUCGUAGAGAUUGGGCGGAACACCAGUGGCGAAGGCGCCUAUCUGGCCGAUAACUGACGCUGAGACUCGAAAGCAUGGGGAGCAAACAGG
This 253-nucleotide ribosomal RNA is filed under the name uncultured bacterium. Its description in RNAcentral is "partial 16S ribosomal RNA". It matches the Rfam family "Bacterial small subunit ribosomal RNA", at positions 524 to 776 of the family's 1533-position model. The record is from RNAcentral.